RNAcentral lists this ribosomal RNA (465 nucleotides) under Vreelandella stevensii. RNAcentral describes it as "partial 16S ribosomal RNA". It matches the Rfam family "Bacterial small subunit ribosomal RNA", at positions 338 to 795 of the family's 1533-position model. The record is from RNAcentral. Lineage: Bacteria; Pseudomonadati; Pseudomonadota; Gammaproteobacteria; Oceanospirillales; Halomonadaceae.
CCUACGGGCGGCAGCAGUGGGGAAUAUUGGACAAUGGGGGCAACCCUGAUCCAGCCAUGCCGCGUGUGUGAAGAAGGCCCUCGGGUUGUAAAGCACUUUCAGUGAGGAAGAACGCCUGGUGGUUAAUACCCAUCAGGAAAGACAUCACUCACAGAAGAAGCACCGGCUAACUCCGUGCCAGCAGCCGCGGUAAUACGGAGGGUGCGAGCGUUAAUCGGAAUUACUGGGCGUAAAGCGCGCGUAGGUGGCUUGAUAAGCCGGUUGUGAAAGCCCCGGGCUCAACCUGGGAACGGCAUCCGGAACUGUCAAGCUAGAGUGCAGGAGAGGAAGGUAGAAUUCCCGGUGUAGCGGUGAAAUGCGUAGAGAUCGGGAGGAAUACCAGUGGCGAAGACGGCCUUCUGGACUGACACUGACACUGAGGUGCGAAAGCGUGGGUAGCAAACAGGAUUAGAUACCCCGGUAGUC